Molecule: ribosomal RNA, 492 nt
Filed under: uncultured bacterium
Lineage: Bacteria
Description: partial 16S ribosomal RNA
Rfam family: Bacterial small subunit ribosomal RNA
Source: RNAcentral
AGUGAACGCUGGCGCUAGGCCUAACACAUGCAAGUCGAACGGCAGCACAGUAAGAGCUUGCUCUUACGGGUGGCGAGUGGCGGACGGGUGAGGAAUACAUCGGAAUCUACUUUUUCGUGGGGGAUAACGUAGGGAAACUUACGCUAAUACCGCAUACGACCUACGGGUGAAAGCAGGGGAUCUUCGGACCUUGCGCGAUUGAAUGAGCCGAUGUCGGAUUAGCUAGUUGGCGGGGUAAAGGCCCACCAAGGCGACGAUCCGUAGCUGGUCUGAGAGGAUGAUCAGCCACACUGGAACUGAGACACGGUCCAGACUCCUACGGGAGGCAGCAGUGGGGAAUAUUGGACAAUGGGCGCAAGCCUGAUCCAGCCAUACCGCGUGGGUGAAGAAGGCCUUCGGGUUGUAAAGCCCUUUUGUUGGGAAAGAAAAGCAGCAGGUUAAUACCCCGCUGUUCUGACGGUACCCAAAGAAUAAGCACCGGCUAACUUCGUG